This 816-nucleotide ribosomal RNA is filed under the name uncultured bacterium. RNAcentral's name for it is "bacterial SSU rRNA". It matches the Rfam family "Bacterial small subunit ribosomal RNA", at positions 8 to 853 of the family's 1533-position model. The record is from RNAcentral.
AGAGUUUGAUCAUGGCUCAGGAUGAACGCUGGCGGCGUGCCUAACACAUGCAAGUCGAGCGAUCUUCUUCAGAAGAGAGCGGCGGACGGGUGAGUAACGCGUGGGUAACCUGCCUCAUACACAUGGAUAACAUACCGAAAGGUAUGCUAAUACAAGAUAAUAUAAGAGAUUCGCAUGGAUUUCUUAUCAAAGCUCCGGCGGUAUGAGAUGGACCCGCGUCUGAUUAGCUAGUUGGUAAGGUAACGGCUUACCAAGGCGACGAUCAGUAGCCGACCUGAGAGGGUGAUCGGCCACAUUGGAACUGAGACACGGUCCAAACUCCUACGGGAGGCAGCAGUGGGGAAUAUUGCACAAUGGGCGAAAGCCUGAUGCAGCAACGCCGCGUGAGCGAUGAAGGCCUUCGGGUCGUAAAGCUCUGUCCUCAAGGAAGAUAAUGACGGUACUUGAGGAGGAAGCCCCGGCUAACUACGUGCCAGCAGCCGCGGUAAUACGUAGGGGGCUAGCGUUAUCCGGAUUUACUGGGCGUAAAGGGUGCGUAGGUGGUUUCUUAAGUCAGGAGUGAAAGGCUACGGCUCAACCGUAGUAAGCUCUUGAAACUGGGAAACUUGAGUGCAGGAGAGGAAAGUGGAAUUCCUAGUGUAGCGGUGAAAUGCGUAGAUAUUAGGAGGAACACCAGUAGCGAAGGCGGCUUUCUGGACUGUAACUGACACUGAGGCACGAAAGCGUGGGGAGCAAACAGGAUUAGAUACCCUGGUAGUCCACGCCGUAAACGAUGAGUACUAGGUGUCAGGGGUUACCCCCCUCGGUGCCGCAGCU